GUGGGGAAUUUUGGACAAUGGGCGCAAGCCUGAUCCAGCAAUGCCGCGUGCAGGAAGAAGGCCUUCGGGUUGUAAACUGCUUUUGUACGGAACGAAAAGGCUCUGGUUAAUACCUGGGGCUCAUGACGGUACCGUAAGAAUAAGCACCAGCUAACUACGUGCCAGCAGCCGCGGUAAUACGUAGGGUGCAAGCGUUAAUCGGAAUUACUGGGCGUAAAGCGUGCGCAGGCGGUUUUGUAAGACAGACGUGAAAUCCCCGGGCUCAACCUGGGAAUGGCGUUUGUGACUGCAAAGCUGGAGUGCGGCAGAGGGGGAUGGAAUUCCGCGUGUAGCAGUGAAAUGCGUAGAUAUGCGGAGGAACACCGAUGGCGAAGGCAAUCCCCUGGGCCUGCACUGACGCUCAUGCACGAAAGCGUGGGGAGCAAACAGGAUUAGAUACCCCAGUAGUCC
RNAcentral lists this ribosomal RNA (450 nucleotides) under uncultured bacterium. Its description in RNAcentral is "partial 16S ribosomal RNA". It matches the Rfam family "Bacterial small subunit ribosomal RNA", at positions 354 to 796 of the family's 1533-position model. The record is from RNAcentral.